This 2072-nucleotide ribosomal RNA is filed under the name Escherichia coli. Its description in RNAcentral is "bacterial LSU rRNA". It matches the Rfam family "Bacterial large subunit ribosomal RNA", at positions 1 to 2100 of the family's 2925-position model. The record is from RNAcentral. Lineage: Bacteria; Pseudomonadati; Pseudomonadota; Gammaproteobacteria; Enterobacterales; Enterobacteriaceae.
UUAAGCGACUAAGCGUACACGGUGGAUGCCCUGGCAGUCAGAGGCGAUGAAGGACGUGCUAAUCUGCGAUAAGCGUCGGUAAGGUGAUAUGAACCGUUAUAACCGGCGAUUUCCGAAUGGGGAAACCCAGUGUGUUUCGACACACUAUCAUUAACUGAAUCCAUAGGUUAAUGAGGCGAACCGGGGGAACUGAAACAUCUAAGUACCCCGAGGAAAAGAAAUCAACCGAGAUUCCCCCAGUAGCGGCGAGCGAACGGGGAGCAGCCCAGAGCCUGAAUCAGUGUGUGUGUUAGUGGAAGCGUCUGGAAAGGCGUGCGAUACAGGGUGACAGCCCCGUACACAAAAAUGCACAUGCUGUGAGCUCGAUGAGUAGGGCGGGACACGUGGUAUCCUGUCUGAAUAUGGGGGGACCAUCCUCCAAGGCUAAAUACUCCUGACUGACCGAUAGUGAACCAGUACCGUGAGGGAAAGGCGAAAAGAACCCCGGCGAGGGGAGUGAAAAAGAACCUGAAACCGUGUACGUACAAGCAGUGGGAGCACGCUUAGGCGUGUGACUGCGUACCUUUUGUAUAAUGGGUCAGCGACUUAUAUUCUGUAGCAAGGUUAACCGAAUAGGGGAGCCGAAGGGAAACCGAGUCUUAACUGGGCGUUAAGUUGCAGGGUAUAGACCCGAAACCCGGUGAUCUAGCCAUGGGCAGGUUGAAGGUUGGGUAACACUAACUGGAGGACCGAACCGACUAAUGUUGAAAAAUUAGCGGAUGACUUGUGGCUGGGGGUGAAAGGCCAAUCAAACCGGGAGAUAGCUGGUUCUCCCCGAAAGCUAUUUAGGUAGCGCCUCGUGAAUUCAUCUCCGGGGGUAGAGCACUGUUUCGGCAAGGGGGUCAUCCCGACUUACCAACCCGAUGCAAACUGCGAAUACCGGAGAAUGUUAUCACGGGAGACACACGGCGGGUGCUAACGUCCGUCGUGAAGAGGGAAACAACCCAGACCGCCAGCUAAGGUCCCAAAGUCAUGGUUAAGUGGGAAACGAUGUGGGAAGGCCCAGACAGCCAGGAUGUUGGCUUAGAAGCAGCCAUCAUUUAAAGAAAGCGUAAUAGCUCACUGGUCGAGUCGGCCUGCGCGGAAGAUGUAACGGGGCUAAACCAUGCACCGAAGCUGCGGCAGCGACGCUGAUGCGUUGUUGGGUAGGGGAGCGUUCUGUAAGCCUGCGAAGGUGUGCUGUGAGGCAUGCUGGAGGUAUCAGAAGUGCGAAUGCUGACAUAAGUAACGAUAAAGCGGGUGAAAAGCCCGCUCGCCGGAAGACCAAGGGUUCCUGUCCAACGUUAAUCGGGGCAGGGUGAGUCGACCCCUAAGGCGAGGCCGAAAGGCGUAGUCGAUGGGAAACAGGUUAAUAUUCCUGUGCUUGGUGUUACUGCGAAGGGGGGACGGAGAAGGCUAUGUUGGCCGGGCGACGGUUGUCCCGGUUUAAGCGUGUAGGCUGGUUUUCCAGGCAAAUCCGGAAAAUCAAGGCUGAGGCGUGAUGACGAGGCACUACGGUGCUGAAGCAACAAAUGCCCUGCUUCCAGGAAAAGCCUCUAAGCAUCAGGUAACAUCAAAUCGUACCCCAAACCGACACAGGUGGUCAGGUAGAGAAUACCAAGGCGCUUGAGAGAACUCGGGUGAAGGAACUAGGCAAAAUGGUGCCGUAACUUCGGGAGAAGGCACGCUGAUAUGUAGGUGAAGUCCCUCGCGGAUGGAGCUGAAAUCAGUCGAAGAUACCAGCUGGCUGCAACUGUUUAUUAAAAACACAGCACUGUGCAAACACGAAAGUGGACGUAUACGGUGUGACGCCUGCCCGGUGCCGGAAGGUUAAUUGAUGGGGUCAGCGCAAGCGAAGCUCUUGAUCGAAGCCCCGGUAAACGGCGGCCGUAACUAUAACGGUCCUAAGGUAGCGAAAUUCCUUGUCGGGUAAGUUCCGACCUGCACGAAUGGCGUAAUGAUGGCCAGGCUGUCUCCACCCGAGACUCAGUGAAAUUGAACUCGCUGUGAAGAUGCAGUGUACCCGCGGCAAGACGGAAAGACCCCGUGAACCU